RNAcentral lists this ribosomal RNA (253 nucleotides) under uncultured bacterium. Its description in RNAcentral is "partial 16S ribosomal RNA". It matches the Rfam family "Bacterial small subunit ribosomal RNA", at positions 524 to 776 of the family's 1533-position model. The record is from RNAcentral.
UACAGAGGAUGCAAGCGUUAUCCGGAAUGAUUGGGCGUAAAGCGUCUGUAGGUGGCUUUUUAAGUCCGCCGUCAAAUCCCAGGGCUCAACCCUGGACAGGCGGUGGAAACUACCAAGCUGGAGUACGGUAGGGGCAGAGGGAAUUUCCGGUGGAGCGGUGAAAUGCGUAGAGAUCGGGAGGAACACCUGUGGCGAAGGCGGCCCCCUGGGCCGGCCCUGACACUGAGACGCGAAGGCGUGGGGAGCGAACGGG